RNAcentral lists this long non-coding RNA (874 nucleotides) under Theobroma cacao (cacao). RNAcentral's name for it is "long non-coding RNA (TCAC_LNC000301)". The record is from RNAcentral. Lineage: Eukaryota; Viridiplantae; Streptophyta; Magnoliopsida; Malvales; Malvaceae.
UUAUUCUUUAAAAUCUUAAAACAAGUAUAAACCACUUUAGAUAAUUAAGAUGAACAUAUGAUUACUCACAAUAGCGGGAGUUUGGAGUACUCCUAUUCUUGGUCCUCGGGUACAAUAUCUUUACCCUUAUCAGAGGGCUCACCACCUAUACAUAAUACACGACACGUAAUUCAAUAUAUUUGUGCCAAACUGUUAUAAAACUAUUUCAGGCUUUAUAUGAAUGCAUGACAUUGAAUGAGAAUUGUCCGAAUAAUCACUUAAAGACGGUGUUCUACGUGGGUUCAAUUAUGAUCGGACUAAAUUGGCAUUUGACCUAACUCGCACUAUGCCUUGUUUAAUUAGCCAAAACAUCCAAUUCAACUCCAAAUAUCUUCAUUACACUUCCAAUAUUCCAAAUACACCAAAGUACCUCAAUGAGCUUAAUUGUGACUUAAUUACCCGUAACCGAAAUUCAUUUCGAUUUCGAUAUCUGAUACAAUAAAUCAUCAAUUACGAGCUAAUUAACAUGAAACACAACAAAAUCCAUCAUCAACAUGUCACCUAAUAAAUUCGGCCAAAGAGGGUUAUUGAAGGGCAUGUGAUUUUCUUGCUUGUUUUUCCUUCCAAACAUCACAAAAUGACUAAAAACACUAGGAUAUUAUGAAAUCUAGCAAAAUUCAUAACCAAAACUUCUCUCUCUAGGUUUGGCUAGCAAAGGUUCCCUCUUGAAAACUUGAAUUUCAGCCAUGGAGAAUGAAAAAGAAUGCAUGGGAAAGGUAGAUCACAAGCUAAAAUUAAAAAAUCUUACCUUUACUUGCUUGAUUCCUUGAAAUCCAACAAUUUCUCUUGAAUUUUUCUUUCCUAGGGUUUGUUCUUCUCUUUUUCUCUUUGUUCC